This 497-nucleotide ribosomal RNA is filed under the name uncultured bacterium. RNAcentral describes it as "partial 16S ribosomal RNA". It matches the Rfam family "Bacterial small subunit ribosomal RNA", at positions 28 to 507 of the family's 1533-position model. The record is from RNAcentral.
GAUGAACGCUGGCGGCGUGCCUAAUACAUGCAAGUCGAGCGAACAGAUAAGGAGCUUGCUCCUUUGAAGUUAGCGGCGGACGGGUGAGUAACACGUGGGUAACCUACCUAUAAGACUGGGAUAACUUCGGGAAACCGGAGCUAAUACCGGAUAACAUUUAGAACCGCAUGGUUCUAAAGUGAAAGAUGGUUUUGCUAUCACUUAUAGAUGGACCCGCGCCGUAUUAGCUAGUUGGUAAGGUAACGGCUUACCAAGGCGACGAUACGUAGCCGACCUGAGAGGGUGAUCGGCCACACUGGAACUGAGACACGGUCCAGACUCCUACGGGAGGCAGCAGUAGGGAAUCUUCCGCAAAGGGCGAAAGCCUGACGGAGCAACGCCGCGUGAGUGAUGAAGGGUUUCGGCUCGUAAAACUCUGUUAUUAGGGAAGAACAAAUGUGUAAGUAACUGUGCACAUCUUGACGGUACCUAACCAGAAAGCCACGGCUAACUACGUG